CCUACGGGAGGCAGCAGUGGGGAAUAUUGGGCAAUGGAGGAAACUCUGACCCAGCGACGCCGCGUGCGGGAUGAAGGCCUUCGGGUUGUAAACCGCUUUCAGUAGGGAAGAAGCGAAAGUGACGGUACCUACAAAAGAAGCACCGGCUAACUAUGUGCCAGCAGCCGCGGUAAUACAUAGGGUGCAAGCGUUGUCCGGAAUUAUUGGGCGUAAAGAGCUCGUAGGUCGUUUGUUACGUCGGAUGUGAAAACCUGAGGCUCAACCUCAGGCCUGCAUUCGAUACGGGCAAACUAGAGUUUGGUAGGGGAGACUGGAAUUCCUGGUGUAGCGGUGGAAUGCGCAGAUAUCAGGAGGAACACCAAUGGCGAAGGCAGGUCUCUGGGCCAAUACUGACACUGAGGAGCGAAAGUCUGGGGAGCGAACAGGAUUAGAUACCCUGGUAGUCCAGACCGUAAACGGUGGGCACUAGUUGUGGGAACCUUCCACGGUUUCUGCGACGCAGCUAACGCAUUAAGUGCCCCGCCUGGGGAGUACGAUCGCAAGAUUAAAACUUAAGGAAUUGACGG
Molecule: ribosomal RNA, 566 nt
Filed under: uncultured bacterium
Lineage: Bacteria
Description: bacterial SSU rRNA
Rfam family: Bacterial small subunit ribosomal RNA
Source: RNAcentral